Molecule: ribosomal RNA, 1404 nt
Filed under: Triticum aestivum (bread wheat)
Lineage: Eukaryota; Viridiplantae; Streptophyta; Magnoliopsida; Poales; Poaceae
Description: partial small subunit ribosomal RNA
Source: RNAcentral
AUGGAGCCGCGCGUGGGUAACAAGUACCGCCUCGGCCGUAAGCUCGGCAGCGGCUCGUUCGGGGAGAUCUACCUCGGUACUAACGUGCAGACCAACGAGGAGGUCGCGAUUAAGCUUGAAAAUGUGAAGACAAAGCAUCCUCAGUUGCUGUAUGAGUCAAAGUUGUACAGGGUACUGCAGGGCGGAACUGGGAUUUCAAAUGUCAAGUGGUUUGGUGUUGAGGGUGACUACAAUGUUCUUGUUAUGGAUGUGUUGGGGCCAAGCCUUGAAGAUCUUUUCAGCUUUUGCAACAGAAAACUGUCGCUCAAAACUGUUCUGAUGCUUGCUGAUCAAAUGAUCAACCGAGUUGAAUUUAUACAUUCAAAGUCCUUCUUGCAUCGAGAUAUAAAGCCAGACAAUUUUCUCAUGGGCCUUGGAAAGAGAGCAAAUCAGGUAUAUAUGAUUGACUUUGGACUGGCAAAGAAAUACAGGGACACGUCAACACACCAGCACAUUCCAUACCGGGAGAACAAAAAUUUGACUGGGACAGCUCGAUAUGCGAGUGUAAGCACCCAUCUUGGAAUUGAACAAAGCAGAAGGGAUGACAUGGAGUCUCUUGGAUAUGUACUCAUGUACUUCUUGAGAGGAAGUCUCCCAUGGCAGGGUUUAAAAGCCGGUACGAAGAAACAGAAGUAUGAGAAAAUCAGCGAACGGAAGAUUGCCACUUCAAUUGAGGCUUUGUGUCGUGGAUACCCUUCUGAAUUUCAGUCAUUCUUCCAUUACUGCCGCUCACUGCGUUUUGAAGACAGUCCAGACUAUCAAUACCUGAAGAGAUUGUUCAGAGAUCUUUUUAUUCGAGAGGGAUUCCAGUUUGAUUAUGUUUUUGACUGGACCAUUCUUAAAUACCAGCAGUCACAAAUGACCAGUGUUCCACCACGUGCUAUUGCCGCUGCUGCAGGACAAAGCUCGGGGAUGGCUCCAAUUGCAUGUAAUAAUAGACUGUCAGCCACCGAAGAGGGAAGAAGAAGUGGAUGGUCAGAUGAUCCUACACGACGUCAGGUUCCACCUACAGGAAUAAAUGCAGGCAGCUUAUCGAAACAGAAGUCACCAGUUAGACCAGAUGUGUCCGCACCGAAGGAAGCUGUGUUGUCCAGUUCGACUUUUUUGGGUCGGUCAGGCGUGUCCUCAAGGCGACCUGCUGUUUCUAGUAGCCGAGAUUUGCCAAGCAGUGGAGCUGAACCAUCACGUAGUCGUGCACCAGAUGCGAGUCCAGGGACGUCCCAGAGAAACUCAGCUCCACGGAGGACCUCACAGACGCCUGACUACUCUGAUCCCAGGCACAAGUCUAACAGCAACAACUACGAGUCCACUAUAAGGGGCAUCCGAGGCCUAAAUUUCGAUGGCAAUGAUAGGAUCCACUACUAG